GCUGGGCACGGUGGCGCAUGCCUGUAAGUCCCAGCAGCUCUGGAGGCUGAGGCAGGAGGAUCACAAGUUCAAAGCCAGGCUCAGCAAAAGCAAGGCACUAAGCAACUCAGUGAGAUCCUAUCUCUA
This 126-nucleotide small RNA is filed under the name Marmota monax (woodchuck). The record is from RNAcentral. Lineage: Eukaryota; Metazoa; Chordata; Mammalia; Rodentia; Sciuridae.